RNAcentral lists this ribosomal RNA (432 nucleotides) under uncultured bacterium. Its description in RNAcentral is "bacterial SSU rRNA". It matches the Rfam family "Bacterial small subunit ribosomal RNA", at positions 99 to 518 of the family's 1533-position model. The record is from RNAcentral.
CGGACGGGUGAGUAACACGUGGACAAUCUGCCCCCCGGCCCGGGAUAGCCCAGGGAAACCUGGAUUAAUACCGGAUGAGACGGGACCCGCGAAGGCGGGACCCGGGAAGGCGCUGCGGCGCCGCCGGGGGAUGAGUCUGCGUCCCAUUAGCUAGACGGCGGGGUAACGGCCCACCGUGGCGACGAUGGGUAGCCGGCCUGAGAGGGUGGACGGCCACAUUGGAACUGAGACACGGUCCAGACUCCUACGGGAGGCAGCAGCUAAGAAUCUUCCGCAAUGGGCGAAAGCCUGACGGAGCCGACGCCGCGUGAACGAAGAAGGCCGUGAGGUUGUAAAGUUCUUUUCGGGAGGGGGAACAACCGUGGCAGGGAAUGGCCGCGGGAUGACGUGAAUCCCGGAAUAAGCCCCGGCUAACUACGUGCCAGCCGCCGC